This 1324-nucleotide ribosomal RNA is filed under the name Salmonella enterica. RNAcentral describes it as "partial 23S ribosomal RNA". It matches the Rfam family "Bacterial large subunit ribosomal RNA", at positions 44 to 1269 of the family's 2925-position model. Lineage: Bacteria; Pseudomonadati; Pseudomonadota; Gammaproteobacteria; Enterobacterales; Enterobacteriaceae. The record is from RNAcentral.
AGGCGAUGAAGGGCGUGCUAAUCUGCGAUAAGCGCCGGUAAGGUGAUAUGAACCGUUAUAACCGGCGAUACCCGAAUGGGGAAACCCAGUGUGACUCGUCACACUAUCAUUAACUGAAUCCAUAGGUUAAUGAGGCGAACCGGGGGAACUGAAACAUCUAAGUACCCCGAGGAAAAGAAAUCAACCGAGAUUCCCCCAGUAGCGGCGAGCGAACGGGGAGGAGCCCAGAGCCUGAAUCAGCAUGUGUGUUAGUGGAAGCGUCUGGAAAGGCGCGCGAUACAGGGUGACAGCCCCGUACACAAAAGCGCAUGUGCUGUGAGCUCGAUGAGUAGGGCGGGACACGUGGUAUCCUGUCUGAAUAUGGGGGGACCAUCCUCCAAGGCUAAAUACUCCUGACUGACCGAUAGUGAACCAGUACCGUGAGGGAAAGGCGAAAAGAACCCCGGCGAGGGGAGUGAAAAAGAACCUGAAACCGUGUACGUACAAGCAGUGGGAGCCCCACCACCAAAGCAUUUGCUGUACCGCGUUGACGGAGCGAAGCGACGUCAAACCGAUAAAACAGCAGUGUAAAGUGAGCCGCAGGGCGCUUUGCGCGACAGCGCAAAGGCAGGCGGUUUCGCGUAGCGAAAGCGAAUGCUUUGGGGUGGGGUGACUGCGUACCUUUUGUAUAAUGGGUCAGCGACUUAUAUUCUGUAGCAAGGUUAACCGAAUAGGGGAGCCGGAGGGAAACCGAGUCUUAAUUGGGCGUUAAGUUGCAGGGUAUAGACCCGAAACCCGGUGAUCUAGCCAUGGGCAGGUUGAAGGUUGGGUAACACUAACUGGAGGACCGAACCGACUAAUGUUGAAAAAUUAGCGGAUGACCUGUGGCUGGGGGUGAAAGGCCAAUCAAACCGGGAGAUAGCUGGUUCUCCCCGAAAGCUAUUUAGGUAGCGCCUCGUGAAUUCAUCUCCGGGGGUAGAGCACUGUUUCGGCUAGGGGGCCAUCCCGGCUUACCAACCCGAUGCAAACUGCGAAUACCGGAGAAUGUUAUCACGGGAGACACACGGCGGGUGCUAACGUCCGUCGUGAAGAGGGAAACAACCCAGACCGCCAGCUAAGGUCCCAAAGUCAUGGUUAAGUGGGAAACGAUGUGGGAAGGCCCAGACAGCCAGGAUGUUGGCUUAGAAGCAGCCAUCAUUUAAAGAAAGCGUAAUAGCUCACUGGUCGAGUCGGCCUGCGCGGAAGAUGUAACGGGGCUAAACCAUGCACCGAAGCUGCGGCAGCGACACUGUGUGUUGUUGGGUAGGGGAGCGUUCUGUAAGCCUGUGAAGGUGUGUCGUGAGGC